CACCGCGGUUAUACGAGGGGCCCUAGUUGAGAAACACGGCGUAAAGGGUGGUUAAGGUAAGAAUAAAAUAAAGCUAAAGAGCCUCUUGGCCGUCAUACGCCUCUGAGCGUUCGAGACUCAUAUACGAAAGUAGCUUUAAUAUAAUCCACCUGACCCCACGAAAGCUGAGAAA
RNAcentral lists this ribosomal RNA (172 nucleotides) under Microcobitis sp. CBM:ZF:12462. Its description in RNAcentral is "partial 12S rRNA". Lineage: Eukaryota; Metazoa; Chordata; Actinopteri; Cypriniformes; Cobitidae. The record is from RNAcentral.